Molecule: ribosomal RNA, 500 nt
Filed under: uncultured bacterium
Lineage: Bacteria
Description: partial 16S ribosomal RNA
Rfam family: Bacterial small subunit ribosomal RNA
Source: RNAcentral
AUUGAACGCUGGCGGAAUGCUUUACACAUGCAAGUCGAACGGCAGCACGGACUUCGGUCUGGUGGCGAGUGGCGAACGGGUGAGUAAUAUAUCGGAACGUGCCCAGUCGAGGGGGAUAACGUAGUGAAAAUUACGCUAAUACCGCAUACGAUCUAUGUAUGAAAGCGGGGGACCUUUGGGCCUCGCGCGAUUGGAGCGGCCGCAAUCAGAUUAGGUAGUUGGUGGGGUAAAGGCUCACCAAGCCAACGAGCUUUAGGUGGUCUGAGAGGACGGCCAGCCACACUGGGACUGAGACACGGCCCAGACUCCUACGGGAGGCAGCAGUGAGGAAUUUUGGACAAUGGACGCAAGUCUGAUCCAGCCAUUCCGCGUGCAGGAAGAAGGCCUUCGGGUUGUAAACUGCUUUUGUACAGAACGAAAAGGUUUAUACUAAUACUAGGAGCUCAUGACGGUACUGUAAGAAUGAGCACCGGCUAACUACGUGCCAGCCGCCGCCGUAA